This 1188-nucleotide long non-coding RNA is filed under the name Prunus persica (peach). RNAcentral's name for it is "long non-coding RNA (PPER_LNC000610)". Lineage: Eukaryota; Viridiplantae; Streptophyta; Magnoliopsida; Rosales; Rosaceae. The record is from RNAcentral.
AGGGGAAGGGCUCAUUGCCUUGUAUAAUUAAUAUAUUUGUGUUUAAUAUUAUCUUUCGCUGCUCAUAUUUUAAUUUUCAAACAUUAUUUGAAUGGGAAUUACUCAUUUUUCCUUUUGCAAUCAAGUUGUCCGAGAUUCCUAAAGCAAAGUAUAUUGAUUUAGACAAGGUUAUUUCCUGGAGAGUACCUCAUGCAUAAACAUUAAUUUACUGUAAUAUAUUGAUCUUUCCUCUUUUGGAAAAACUUUCCGAACUCUUCUUUUUUAUAAAAAUAAAAAAUAAAAAAUAAAAAAAAUCUGUUAAAAAUGAAGCUUCCUGCUUAAGGCAUUAUGAGCUACCAUUUUUUAUUCAUUUCAUAUAAAAAUGAAGUUUAUUAGGGGUUCGUAAGAUUUAAGGGUUUAGGAAUUGAAGAAGAAGAAUUUAUGGCUCUAUAGACACAAGACUGCACAUGAGCUGUGUUUGUACCAUAACUGACCGAGCAACUAGCUAGGCUAGAUCAUUCGAGUGCCAUGCUUUGAAAGGUCAUCACCUUAGCCAAAGAAGCACCACCACAAAUCACAACUCUAAGCAAAGCAAAAGGAGUCCCACAUCGGAAAACUACAAGAGAUGGAGACUCCCCCUCACCUAUAAAAGAAGACUGCUCUUUACUUAGAAGGGGAUCCUGGUCUUGGAUCUAGACCCUUAGGCCUUGGACUCUCUCUUCUGGAUCCAUCUCUGGGCUGGGCUUCUCACUUGUUAUCUUUAUAUUUGGGUCUAAUCCCCUUGUACAAAUGUAAACGAACAUUAUGAGAACACCUUUCUCCGUGGACGUAGCCCAUCAUUCGGGUGAACCACGUAUAUCUUGUCUUCUAUAUGUUUAUCGUUUGUCCAAAUCCUCACACACUUGGUAAAGGUCCUCACCUUCAUCCAUCAUCCAUCACACCUCAUCACUAAGUUGGACUCAACCUUGGCCUAACCAUUUUGAGCAUCAACAGUUUGGCGCCGUCUGUGGGAAUUGACACAAAAGGCUUAUGUCGUUCUCCUCUUCUCCAAUGCCCUUCGGCAACCAUACAAUCAACGUCACCUAAGUUGCCGUUCGGCAAUAUCUUACUAAAGCAACAAUGAAUGCUAAGGCAACAAAUUGCAGAAGAUGAUAUUUUAGGAAAAGCCGAUCAGAAUGUGGCUAUCGCUUGCAUGGCUUGCAUGGCCAA